UACAGAGACUGCAAGCGUUAUUCGGAUUCACUGGGCGUAAAGGGUGCGCAGGCGGCCAGGUGUGUUAGGCGUGAAAGCCCGGGGCUUAACCCCGGAAUUGCACCUAAAACUACUUGGCUAGAGCAUUGGAGAGGGUAGCGGAAUUCACGGUGUAGCAGUGAAAUGCGUAGAUAUCGUGAGGAACACCAGAGGCGAAGGCGGCUACCUGGACAAUUGCUGACGCUCAGGCACGAAAGCGUGGGGAGCAAACAGG
Molecule: ribosomal RNA, 253 nt
Filed under: uncultured bacterium
Lineage: Bacteria
Description: partial 16S ribosomal RNA
Rfam family: Bacterial small subunit ribosomal RNA
Source: RNAcentral